Molecule: ribosomal RNA, 244 nt
Filed under: uncultured soil bacterium
Lineage: Bacteria
Description: partial 16S ribosomal RNA
Rfam family: Bacterial small subunit ribosomal RNA
Source: RNAcentral
AGGACGAACGCUGGCGGCGUGCUUAACACAUGCAUGUCGAGCGGAAAGGCCACUUCGGUGGUACUCGAGCGGCGAACGGGUGAGUAACACGUGAGUAAUCUGCCCCUGGCUUUGGGAUAGCCACCGGAAACGUGAUUAAUACCGGAUAUGACUGCUCCUCGCAUGAGGUGGUGGUGGUAAGUUUUUCGCAGGAUGUGCUCGCGCUAGUCAGUCGUUGAGUGGUGGGUAAUGGCCUACACCGAGU